RNAcentral lists this transfer RNA (454 nucleotides) under Paracidovorax avenae. RNAcentral's name for it is "Acidovorax avenae partial 16S-23S ribosomal RNA intergenic spacer". The stretch from base 42 to 114 matches the Rfam family "tRNA". The record is from RNAcentral. Lineage: Bacteria; Pseudomonadati; Pseudomonadota; Betaproteobacteria; Burkholderiales; Comamonadaceae.
AGACCCACCAAAUCUUCCGAACAUAAGAUGCGAGGAUCAGUGGGGGAUUAGCUCAGCUGGGAGAGCACCUGCUUUGCAAGCAGGGGGUCGUCGGUUCGAUCCCGUCAUCCUCCACCAACCAAUAUGACCUGCGGUAGGGCAAAGAAACUAACACCAAAGCGGCUUCGCAAGAGGCCUCUUUGUUGUUGGUCCGGUAUAGACCGGGUCAAUCGGCUGUUCUUUAAAAAUUCAUAGAGUCGAAUCAGCGUUGUCGGCGGAAAGCAGGAAACUGCACCGUGCCGUCGGCAACAAAAAUUUGAUUGCGUCAAAACGAAUAUUCAAUUGAGCGAAAGCUGAUUGAAGUUCAGUAAUGACGAAUUGUUCUCUAGGUAGCAAUACCGAAGAAGAAUUCACAUUACGGCAUAACGCGCGAGGUGAAAGACCUCGCAAGUCCUUGAAAGAAAGCGGAGAUGUC